GACGAACGCUGGCGGCGUGCUUAACACAUGCAAGUCGAACGGAAAGGCCCUGCUUUUGUGGGGUGCUCGAGUGGCGAACGGGUGAGUAACACGUGAGUAACCUGCCCUUGACUUUGGGAUAACUUCAGGAAACUGGGGCUAAUACCGGAUAGGAGCUCCUGCUGCAUGGUGGGGGUUGGAAAGUUUCGGCGGUUGGGGAUGGACUCGCGGCUUAUCAGCUUGUUGGUGGGGUAGUGGCUUACCAAGGCUUUGACGGGUAGCCGGCCUGAGAGGGUGACCGGCCACAAUGGGACUGAGAUACGGACCAGACUGCUACGGGAGGCAGCAGGGGGGAAUAUGGCACAAUGGGCGGAAGCCUGAGGCAGCAACGCCGGGUGCGGGAUGACGGCCUUCGGGUUGUAAACCGCUUUCGCCUGUGACGAAGCGGGAGUGACGGUAAUGGGUAAAGAAGCACCGGCUAACUACGUG
Molecule: ribosomal RNA, 468 nt
Filed under: uncultured bacterium
Lineage: Bacteria
Description: partial 16S ribosomal RNA
Rfam family: Bacterial small subunit ribosomal RNA
Source: RNAcentral